UAACAAGGAUUCCCCUAGUAACGGCGAGUGAAGCGGGAUGAGCUCAAAUUUAAAAUCUGGCCGGUUUACUGGUCCGAAUUGUAGUUUAAAGAAGCGUUUUCGGUGGCAGCCUGGGUAUAAAUCCUUUGGAAUAGGGUAUCAUAGAGGGUGAGAAUCCCGUCUUUGACUCAGUGCAUGCUACUAUGUGAUACGUUUUCAAAGAGUCGAGUUGUUUGGGAAUGCAGCUCAAAAUGGGUGGUAAAUCUCAUCUAAGGCUAAAUAUUGGCGAGAGACCGAUAGCGAACAAGUACCGUGAGGGAAAGAUGAAAAGAACUUUGAAAAGAGAGUUAAACAGUGCGUGAAAUUGUUGAAAGGGAAACGUUUGACACCAGUCAUGCGGGCGGAAAAUCAGUCUUUUGUAGUGAGGAAGCGCGUGGGUUCAGACCGCAAGGCUGGCCUAUGUGUUCUCCCUGCUGCAAGUGAUGCACUUUUUCGUCUGCAGGCCAACAUCAGUUUCUUCUGCUGGACAAAACUCCAAGAGAAGGUAGCAGCUUAGGCUGUGUUAUAGCUCUGGAGCGAUACAGUGGAGGAGACUGAGGUUUUCGCAGCGUGUGCUCUCGGGCAAGGCGGAUUGGGUGCUAUGAGAUCGUUCGGCGUACAAUGCAUGCAUUUUGCGCCGUGUCCUUUUUAUACUCGCUCAACUCUGCUCUUCCACGCUUAGGAUGUUGGCAUAA
This 713-nucleotide ribosomal RNA is filed under the name Mortierella polycephala. RNAcentral's name for it is "eukaryotic LSU rRNA". It matches the Rfam family "Eukaryotic large subunit ribosomal RNA", at positions 66 to 634 of the family's 3401-position model. Lineage: Eukaryota; Fungi; Mortierellomycota; Mortierellomycetes; Mortierellales; Mortierellaceae. The record is from RNAcentral.